Molecule: ribosomal RNA, 253 nt
Filed under: uncultured bacterium
Lineage: Bacteria
Description: partial 16S ribosomal RNA
Rfam family: Bacterial small subunit ribosomal RNA
Source: RNAcentral
UACGAAGGGGGCUAGCGUUGCUCGGAAUGACUGGGCGUAAAGGGCGCGCAGGCGGCUCAUUUUGUCAGGCGUGAAAGCCCCGGGCUUAACCUGGGAACUGCGUUUGAUACGGAUGGGCUAGAGUUCGGGAGAGGAGAGUGGAAUUCCCAGUGUAGAGGUGAAAUUCGUAGAUAUUGGGAAGAACACCGGUGGCGAAGGCGGCUCUCUGGACCGAGACUGACGCUGAGGCGCGAAAGCGUGGGGAGCAAACAGG